CCUCCCCGCUGCCGUCAAGCCCGGGCGGGGGAGGUGCUCUCCGCCGCGACGGGAAGUAAACCUCUUCAGAGCUGGUUGAGCAUGGCAAUGAGCUUUUCUUCCAGGGAAGUGUAAACUACAGAUGAGCUCCUUUGGGACACCAGAUUUGGCCAUGCUUUCGUGGAAGGAACAAUAGGAGUGAAGGUCAUCAUGGCUACA
Long non-coding RNA from Calypte anna (Anna's hummingbird), 198 nucleotides. RefSeq lists it as uncharacterized. The transcript is spliced from 4 exons. The record is from RefSeq and is a predicted model, not a curated record. NCBI's taxonomy places the organism in Eukaryota, Metazoa, Chordata, Aves, Apodiformes, Trochilidae.